Molecule: long non-coding RNA, 3716 nt
Filed under: Sus scrofa (pig)
Lineage: Eukaryota; Metazoa; Chordata; Mammalia; Artiodactyla; Suidae
Description: lncRNA (ENSSSCG00030021142.1)
Source: RNAcentral
UCCUGGGGCUUCUGCCAAGGAACAUUGGAAGGUGGGCAUUUAUCUCUCCCAAGUCUCCCAGGGCACUCACCCCAACCUACACCACCCCAGUACAUGAAAACCCACUGCUGCCCCACCCAUCAUCUGCACACAGGCCAGGCCAGAGGCAUGAGGAUUACAAGUCCAAGACUCAAAAUAUAUGCUUCUGGGUCCAGAGUCCUGCCUCUGGAAAAAAAAGGGCAAAGAACCCUGAAAAAGGGCAGUAUCUCUGAGCACUUCCUCAUCAGCCAGUCUGGAAAUGCCCAUUAGAUGUUGAAGGCACUUCCGUGUCCCCUGCCUGAGGUGAGGCAAUUGCGACCUGAGAGGCAAAGGCAACCGGGGACCAACCUCAACUUUCUGGGCACGUCCUUGGUCUGUCACCAGCCCUGUUUCAACACAGUCUCUAAGCCUGGAGCUGCAACCAGGGAACAGCAGGUGGGCUCUGCUGGGGCUCUGGCGCCAUCUGGUGGCGAUUAGCUCUAACAGCAACUCUCAGCCCUUCCUCUUGCCUCCCUCAGCAGAACACUGCGCUGCACUGGCCUUGGGCACCUGCCAGGUUGAUUCUUCUUCCACUCCCUCUGAGCACCAUGAACUGCCUUACACAGACGGGUGGGCCUCUCUUAAACUCCCCCUGAGCACUCACCCCAGCCUACCCCAUCCCACUAUCUUUUUUUGUUUUUUGUUUUUUUGCCUUUUUGCCUUUUCUAGGGCUGCUCCUGCAGCAUAUGGAGAUUCCCAGGCCAGGGGUCUAAUCAGAGCUGUAGCCACCGGCCUUCGCCAGAGCCACAGCAACGCAGGAUCCAAGCAGUGUCUGCAACCUACACCACAGCUCACGGCAACGCCGGAUCGUUAACCCACUGAGCAAGGCCAGGGAUGGAACCUGCAACCUCAUGGUUCCUAGUCGGAUUCGUUAACCACUGUGCCACAACAGGAACUCCCCAUCCCACUAUCUUAUGUAACUCAGCCACCCUGCUUCUGAAGUCUCCUGAGCAACCUUUAACUCAGUCGGCACACCUUAGCCCUGUAACUAAACUUUCUUUCAAGAACUUCCACCAUUAUACAUUUUACCUGGCUUUAGGGAAGUCCUCUUAACAGAGGUCCAGCAGUGGAGGAAGAAGUUUAGAUGGAAAGGGAAGAAGGAAGUUGGGGAGAACUUCACAGAAAUGCACAGAAAUGAGCAAUGCCCGCCUUCCAAAAUACUACCGCUUUGACACACUAACUUCAAAGGACACCGGCCCAGUUUUGCAACAUGCCAACAUGCGGAAAAACCUAUACACUGAAAACUGCAAGCCCAAAGUCAGACGGAGUAUUUCAAGGUCCAGACUCCUACUUCUGGAGAAACAAAGGGCAAUGAGACAUCAGACAGCCUGUCAAAUUCUCUGGCAACUGGGCCACCUGACCAGGCUGGAAGUGCCCAGCAUGUGCUGAGGGGACACCUCUGUCCCCUCUGUGAGGUGAGGCAAUUUGGGCUGGAGCAACAAUCACACACUGUAACCAACCCCUCCUCUCCGGCAUGCCUGGGGUUUCUGCCCAACCCACAUCCAAUCCCAUCUCUGAACAUGGAGGCAGGGACAGGGAUCUGCAGGUGGGCUCUGUGGGUGCUAUGGCGCCCUCUGGUGGCCAUCAUCUCUAAUAAUGACUCCCACCCCAGUCCAGGGGGAUGCACUGGCCCUGGCACCUGCCAGCUUGAUUUUAUUCCUCUUUUCAGUCUGAGCAAGAUGAAGUGCAUUACAGAGAGGGGCAUUUCUCUUUCAAAUUCUCCUUGGACACUCACCCCCACUUGCACCACCCCAGUACAUGAAAACCCUCUGCUGCCAUGCCCAUUAUGUAUGAGAGUCUUCUUGAAAUCCAUCACUCUGCCUUCAUUCACAAGACCUGAUCAUGUCCCCACCACAGGGGUUGGGGACAGGAAAAAGGGGCUCAGAUGGAAAAGGAAGAAGGAAGUUUGGGGAGACCUCUUGAGAGAAAAGCACAAGGAUGACCACAACCACCCUGAACAUAUCACUACUUUUACAUGUUUCAUUCACAACCACCACCUCUUUUUCCAGAAGUCCAACCCCACACAAGCCAGAAGCUUGAAUACAGCAAGCCCAAUAUUCAAACAGAUGAUUCUGGUCCAGGGUCCUGCCUCUGGGGAAACAAAGGGCAAAGACCCCAGAAGACAUGUCAGCAUCCCUGAUCCCUGCACUGCUGGUCAGGCUGGAAAUGCCCAUCACAUGCUGAAGGGACAUCCGUGUCCCCUCCUUGAGGUGAGGCAAUCUGGGCAGGAGAGGCAGUGGCGCCUGUAACCAACCUCAACUUUCUGGGCACGUCUUUGGCCGUAGGUUUGAUUCCUGACUGAGAACUUCCAAGUGCUGUGGGUGUGGCCAAAAAAAAACAAAUUUUUUUGAAACGGGUAUAAGAUAUGAAAGGACACCUGGCUAAAGAAGAUAAACAGAUAAUAAGUGGACAAAAAUACGGUCAACAUCAUCUACCACUAGGGAAUCAUGAAGCAAAACAACAAGACAGCACUGCACACCAAUCAGAACUGAUUAACUUCCUCCCAAAUGACAACACUGGUGACUGGAGGAUGGGGACACAGGAUGCAGCAGGAGCGUUCUUUCACUGCUGAAAGAAAAAUAUCGGCCUGUUGAGAGAUAGUCUGGCAGUAUUUUCUGAAGCUCAACAAGUCUCACAUCUUGAGAUCCAUCCAUCAUGCCUCCAGUAUUCACACAAAUGCUUUGAAGCACUGGAGCCAAACAAAAGAAGAAAAUGCUAUUCUGCACAAUGUCUAAGCCUUAAAGGGAUCAGGAUGUCUUCAGGAGAUGAAUGCAUAAGCAAACUGGGGUGUGCCCAUAUGAAGGGGAGCAGAAUAGGACUCUCCAAAUUGUGCAGUUUUAAGAGAACUCUCAGAGAAAAACAAUUUUUAAAAAGAAAAUCACGGAGGAAGUUCCCAUUGUGGCUCAGGGGAAACGAAUCUGACUAGUAUCCAUGAGGACACAGGUUUGCUUCCUGGCCUCACUCAGUGCGUUAAGGAUUUGACAUUGCCGUGCGCUGUGGUAUAGGUUGCAGAUGUGGCUCAGAUCCAGCAUUGCUUUGGGUGUGAAGCUACAGCUCUGAUUCGACCCCUAGCCUGGGAACCUCCAUAUGCCGCAGGAGCAGCCCAAAGAAACAGCAAAAAGACAAAAAAAAAAAAAAAAAAAAAAAAAAAAAAAAAUGUGACUGCAGUGGCUCAGAUUUGGGAGGAGGUGAAGGUUCAGUCCCCAGCCUGGAGCAGUGGGUUAAGCAAUCCAGCAUUCUGGUGCAAGUCGCAGCUGUGGCGUGGGUUUGAUCUCUGGCUUGGGAACUUCCACAUGCUACAGACGCAGCCAAAAAAAGAAAAAAGAAAGAAAAUCAAAGUUGGAGGCUCACCCUUCCCAAUUUCAAACAUGAGUACAAAGUACCAGUAAAUAAAACACCAUGAUACCAGCAUAAAGAUACACAUGGUGAUGAAUGGAAGUGAAUGGCAGUCCUACAAAUAAACCCAUCCAUCUAUGAAGAACUGGUUUUAGAUGACACUCAACAGCAUCCAACUGUGGGGAAAUGGUGUCUUCAACAAAUGGUGCCAGGCAAUUAGCUAUCCACAAGCAGAGGAAUUAAAUUGGACCCUAACCCUCUACAUAUAAAAAAGUACCUCACUACAUAUAAAAAAGUACCUCAAAAUACAUAAAAGGCUAAAA